AGCGAACGCUGGCGGCAGGCCUAACACAUGCAAGUCGAACGAAGCCUUCGGGCUUAGUGGCGGACGGGUGAGUAACACGUGGGAACGUACCUUUUGGUUCGGAAUAACGCAGGGAAAUUUGCGCUAAUACCGAAUGAGCCCUUCGGGGGAAAGAUUUAUCGCCGAAAGAUCGGCCCGCGUUGGAUUAGGUAGUUGGUGUGGUAAAGGCGCACCAAGCCUACGAUCCAUAGCUGGUCUGAGAGGAUGAUCAGCCACACUGGGACUGAGACACGGCCCAGACUCCUACGGGAGGCAGCAGUGGGGAAUCUUGCGCAAUGGGCGAAAGCCUGACGCAGCCAUGCCGCGUGAAUGAUGAAGGUCUUAGGAUUGUAAAAUUCUUUUACCAGGGACGAUAAUGACGGUACCUGGAGAAAAAGCCCCGGCUAACUUCGUGCCAGCAGCCGCAGUAA
Molecule: ribosomal RNA, 449 nt
Filed under: uncultured bacterium
Lineage: Bacteria
Description: partial 16S ribosomal RNA
Rfam family: Bacterial small subunit ribosomal RNA
Source: RNAcentral